AACCCAUGGUGAGAGCAACUUCUUUGUAAGUCCUUGUAUCUCUCCUAUGCAUCGUAAAGAGUUUCUAAGUCCAUCUGCACAAACGGAGAGAUAUCAUUACAUAAUUU
RNAcentral lists this small nucleolar RNA (107 nucleotides) under Gossypium hirsutum (cotton). RNAcentral describes it as "Plant small nucleolar RNA R71". It matches the Rfam family "Plant small nucleolar RNA R71". Rfam says of the family: R71 is a member of the C/D box family of snoRNAs containing the C (UGAUGA) and D (CUGA) box motifs. Multiple nearly identical copies of this snoRNA have been identified in Arabidopsis, and it is thought to function as a 2'-O-ribose methylation guide for 18S ribosomal RNA. The record is from Rfam by way of RNAcentral. Lineage: Eukaryota; Viridiplantae; Streptophyta; Magnoliopsida; Malvales; Malvaceae.